ACACGUGAAAUUCCGUCGGAAUCCGGGAGGACCAUCUCCCAAGGCUAAAUACUCCCUAGUGACCGAUAGUGAACCAGUACCGUGAGGGAAAGGUGAAAAGCACCCCGGAAGGGGAGUGAAACAGUUCCUGAAACCGUGUGCCUACAAGUAGUUAGAGCCCGUUAAUGGGUGAUAGCGUGCCUUUUGUAGAAUGAACCGGCGAGUUACGAUUUGUUGCAAGGUUAAGCGGAAAAAGCGGAGCCGUAGCGAAAGCGAGUCUGAAUAGGGCGCAUAAGUAACAGGUCGUAGACCCGAAACCAGGUGAUCUACCCAUGUCCAGGAUGAAGGUAAGGUAAUACUUACUGGAGGUCCGAACCCACGCACGUUGAAAAGUGCGGGGAUGAGGUGUGGGUAGCGGAGAAAUUCCAAUCGAACUUGGAGAUAGCUGGUUCUCUCCGAAAUAGCUUUAGGGCUAGCCUCGAGGUAAAGAGUCAUGGAGGUAGAGCACUGUUUGGACUAGGGGCCCUUCUCGGGUUACCGAAUUCAGAUAAACUCCGAAUGCCAUGUACUUAUACUCGGGAGUCAGACUGCGAGUGAUAAGAUCCGUAGUCGAAAGGGAAACAGCCCAGACCACCAGUUAAGGUCCCCAAAUAUAUGUUAAGUGGAAAAGGAUGUGGGGUUGCUUAGACAACCAGGAUGUUGGCUUAGAAGCAGCCACCAUUGAAAGAGUGCGUAAUAGCUCACUGGUCGAGUGACCCCGCGCCGAAAAUGUACCGGGGCUAAACAUAUUACCGAAACUGUGGAUGAACCUCUUUAGAGGUUCGUGGUAGGAGAGCGUUCUAAGGGCGGUGAAGUCAGACCGGAAGGACUGGUGGAGCGCUUAGAAGUGAGAAUGCCGGUAUGAGUAGCGAAAGAAGGGUGAGAAUCCCUUCCACCGAAUAUCUAAGGUUUCCUGAGGAAGGCUCGUCCGCUC
This 952-nucleotide ribosomal RNA is filed under the name Listeria monocytogenes. RNAcentral describes it as "partial 23S ribosomal RNA". It matches the Rfam family "Bacterial large subunit ribosomal RNA", at positions 422 to 1375 of the family's 2925-position model. Lineage: Bacteria; Bacillati; Bacillota; Bacilli; Caryophanales; Listeriaceae. The record is from RNAcentral.